UGGGAUGUCAGGAACUUUGCGUUGAAGUA
RNAcentral lists this non-coding RNA (29 nucleotides) under Homo sapiens (human). The record is from RNAcentral. Lineage: Eukaryota; Metazoa; Chordata; Mammalia; Primates; Hominidae.